CCCCAGGUUCGGUGAAGUCUGGGAGACCUCCCUCUGUGUCACCUCGACUUUCAAUAACAGUGGCCGCUAGGUGAUGCCCGAAGACAACCGAUGCCUGCAAAUGUCAGUCAGCACGGAAAAGAAUAGAUGCUCAUUUCAACAACCAGACAGUGGAUGUGACAGGAGAAGUGUCAAGGCCAGGAGUUUGAGACCAGCGUGAGCAACCGAGCAAUACAACUACUUGGGAAGGCUGAGGCUGGAGAAU
RNAcentral lists this long non-coding RNA (244 nucleotides) under Homo sapiens (human). RNAcentral describes it as "HSALNT0305898". The record is from RNAcentral. Lineage: Eukaryota; Metazoa; Chordata; Mammalia; Primates; Hominidae.